This 373-nucleotide ribosomal RNA is filed under the name uncultured bacterium. RNAcentral's name for it is "bacterial SSU rRNA". It matches the Rfam family "Bacterial small subunit ribosomal RNA", at positions 525 to 896 of the family's 1533-position model. The record is from RNAcentral.
ACAUAGGGUGCAAGCGUUGUCCGGAAUUAUUGGGCGUAAAGAGCUCGUAGGUGGUUAGAUACGUCGGAUGUGAAAAUCAGGGGCUCAACCCCUGACCUGCAUUCGAUACGGUCUAGCUAGAGUGUGGUAGGGGAGACUGGAAUUCCUGGUGUAGCGGUGGAAUGCGCAGAUAUCAGGAGGAACACCGAUGGCGAAGGCAGGUCUCUGGGCCAUUACUGACACUGAGGAGCGAAAGUCUGGGGAGCGAACAGGAUUAGAUACCCUGGUAGUCCAGACCGUAAACGGUGGGCACUAGUUGUGGGAACCUUCCACGGUUUCUGCGACGCAGCUAACGCAUUAAGUGCCCCGCCUGGGGAGUACGAUCGCAAGAUUA